Non-coding RNA from Arachis ipaensis, 2008 nucleotides. NCBI's taxonomy places the organism in Eukaryota, Viridiplantae, Streptophyta, Magnoliopsida, Fabales, Fabaceae. The record is from RefSeq and is a predicted model, not a curated record.
AGAGCGAGACGCGUUGCGCGGGAGUCACCACCGUGGAGUGUGUCGCCGUUGAGAAGCCGUUACCGCCAGAUCCACCGCUGCCGGAGCUUCUGGCCGAGCUUCUACCGCCGGAAACGCCAUUUCCGGUAAGGGUUUUUAAGUUGGCUUUCGUUCCUUUUGAGUUUCCAGAAGAUUUUCAUCGCUGCAUGUUUGUUACAAUCGUCGUCGCCAGAGUUCUGGUCGCCACUGCCGCUCAAGGUGGUUGCCGGGGCUGCCGCCAAACCGGUGCAGCUAUCGCCGCUGUUUCGUUUUCUUAGUUCGGUUCAAGUUCUGUAUGUUGAAUGCCGCUUUUAGGUUGCUGUGAGUGCUGCGAAAGUGAUAAGGGGCUGAGUUUGUGGUUGUCGUUGGUUCCGGGCUGAGAGGAAAGAGUUCAGUUGAUGCGUUUGGGUUAUGGUUUCGACGAGUCGAGGUAGGGGCUUUUUAUACAAACUAAUUUAUUUUAAAUGGGAAUUGUUAGAAAUAGAUAUGCUGUGCGAAAUGUAUUUCUGGUGAUUAGGUGAGUCUUAUGAAUUGUCUGAUUUUGUCUUGAAUGAAUAUGGUUGCCUAUUUGAUUGAAACAAUGUCUGAUUUUGAUAAAUUGGAGAUUUCUGAAUUGGUUGAUUUGGAUUGGUUUUGAUAAUCUGAAAGUUGAGUUUUUGUUUUAUUUGAAAUUGAUUUGGUCUUGAAUCUGUUGGAAAGAGUUGAGGAUUGGUUUGGUUGGAACCCGGAAAUGUGGCAAAAUCGAAGUUUUAGGGGAGAUGCUACCGAAAUUUCUAUAAAAUCCGAGAUUUUAUUUGAAAUGGUAUUUUAAAAAAGGAAUGGAUUAUGCCUUGAACUGUAUUAUUGAUAAAUGGAUUAUGUUUGGACCCUUUUAUUAAGGAAAUUAUUAUAUUUUGAAUGUAAACUAUUUUAGAAAAGAAUCAUGUUUUAAAGCCGAUUUAAAGAUGAAAAUAUUUAAGUUUUGGAAUUUGAUCAAGUAAGUAAUUUGAGGGAUGUUUAAUGGAGUUCGAUUAACUAAUUUCACUUUACGACAUUUUAGGAAAAAUUUGAAGUAUUUUUUGAAACUUUGAUUUAGUAAAGCUGAAACAAUUUCUGAGCCUUUGGAAAUAGAUUUAAGAAUGAAACUGAAACUGGUUCUCGGUUUAAAUGAUUUGGUUUUGAUUUAAAUAAGUUGGUUUUGAAAUUGGUUCGGAAUAUUUGGAUACAUGACUUGGUUUUGGUUUAAAUUCAAUUUUAUUUAUUCAAAUCAAGAAGUUAAGGUUUCAGAGGUUUUCAAUGAGUUUAAGAAAUGAGUUAGGUUAUUCUCCCCUGAAGUCUUGAGACUCCGCUGAGGAAUUUUAUGACCAAAUCUUGAUUUAGAAAUGAAUGAUUCUAAGUCUUUCAAAAGAGAUUUUGAUUUUGACAUGGUUUUGUGAUGGUUUGGAAGUGUUAGAAAGAUGUGGAAUGUGGCUCCGUUUUGAAAAGUGAUUCUUGGCAAGAUGUGAAUUGAAUACAUUUGUUAUUUAAAAAAAUGGGCUAAGAAUGAAUUUGAAAUAAGUUAUUGAGCCUGAUUGAUUGUGGAUAUCAUCGAGAUUGAUGAGUUAUUACUUGGUAGGCAUAAGGGCCGGGUUCGUCCCGCUUAUGCUGAGAUGAAAUUGUUGAUAAGUCGCUUGCGCCUGGCAAGGAUGGUGGUUAAUCCCGCUUGUCGAGGGUGCGGCGCCCGUGUAAGGACAGUGGUUAAUCCCGCUUACGGUGGAGGCAAGGACGGUGGUUUAAUCCCGCUUGUCUAUGGGACCUACGGAUAAGGACGGUAGUUGGAUCCCGCUUAUCCUAGUCGGCUUUGGCAACAUAACCGACAAUGUGAUAUCACAGCCAGUAGGACAGAUAUGCAUCAUAUGCAUUUAUGUGACAUUGUUUGGGUGUGCAUGUUGUAAUUGGUUUGCCUAUGUGAAUACUUAUGUUAACUGCUAACUGCUAUAAUUGUUGUAAUUGCUAUUAAUUGUGUUUGAAC